AAGCCCCGCAAGGGGCAAGUAGAGUGGCAAACGGGUGAGUAACGCGUGGGUGACCUGCCUUCAAGCGGGGGAUAACGUCCCGAAAGGGACGCUAAUACCGCAUAACAUCCUGCCUUUGAAGAGGCGGAGAUCAAAGCCGGGGAUCGUAAGACCCGGCACUUGAAGAGGGGCUCGCGUCUGAUUAGCUAGUUGGUGGGGUAAUGGCCUACCAAGGCAACGAUCAGUAUCCGGCCUGAGAGGGCGGACGGACACACUGGGACUGAGACACGGCCCAGACUCCUACGGGAGGCAGCAGUGGGGAAUUGUUCGCAAUGGGCGCAAGCCUGACGACGCAACGCCGCGUGGAGGAUGAAGAUUUUCGGA
This 363-nucleotide ribosomal RNA is filed under the name uncultured bacterium. RNAcentral's name for it is "bacterial SSU rRNA". It matches the Rfam family "Bacterial small subunit ribosomal RNA", at positions 72 to 422 of the family's 1533-position model. The record is from RNAcentral.